UAUACUACUGUGCUCAGUAUGCACUACCUACGCCUACGCAUGCAGGAGAGGGAGGAGGAUUUAAUAGGUAGCAUGACUGAAGAAAACAUGUUAUGUAGACAGAUUGAUAAUCUGACUCGUUCCUAGAAAGAUGGGUCACUGAAUUCACGUGGGUUUUAACGCCGUGGAAUGAAUCUCCGUCCAUGUUCGUCGAAGUUUAAUAUACCUGAUAACAAUUUAUCAUUAAGUAUGACCUCAGCAUGUCUAUAAGCCAAGGAACUAAGUCAACGAUAAAUUAAAUAACGCAUGUUCGCUCGAUUCUUCAGCGAGAAGUCGUCCAGCCCCUAUUUUACUCGGAUAGAUACAGAUAUCUUACAAUUAGAUAAUGCGAAGAAUGAUAAGAAUUUAUAGUUCAUUCAAUCUGAUAAGGAAUCAUUGCUAUGUGUGAUGAAAAUAUCACGAACGUUGUACGCUGUAACCGAGUGCUACCUCGCAACAUAGUUGCAACGUUUCUUCCCGGAUGCACGGUCGCAUAAAAAAUUAAAAGGAAGUUGAUCAUAAAGAAUUCAUCAUAAUACAAACAAAGGUCUUUGCAUGCGCUGCAUAUGGAUUUAUGUGGAUCUCGAUUAGACAGCGAAGCCGUUACGAUAAAUACAAGUUGCACUUGCCCAAACUGAAAGACAAUGAUUCGACGUACUUAAUUGAAAUUGCAAGCAUACAUGUAACUCAAUUACCUAAUCGUGUACGAUGUUCUUGUGUAAUAGUUCUCUUUCCUCUCGCGGUUAAAAGAAUCGUAGUGCACGUGUCAGGGAUAUCACUUUCGUAGGAAACCUGUAGACUUGUUAAAUAAAUUAUACGAACGUUAUAAAACCUU
Ceratina calcarata is the source of this 853-nucleotide long non-coding RNA. RefSeq lists it as uncharacterized. NCBI's taxonomy places the organism in Eukaryota, Metazoa, Arthropoda, Insecta, Hymenoptera, Apidae. The record is from RefSeq and is a predicted model, not a curated record. The transcript has 3 exons.